RNAcentral lists this ribosomal RNA (429 nucleotides) under uncultured bacterium. Its description in RNAcentral is "bacterial SSU rRNA". It matches the Rfam family "Bacterial small subunit ribosomal RNA", at positions 405 to 824 of the family's 1533-position model. The record is from RNAcentral.
GUGAAGAAGGCCUUCGGUUGUAAAGCUCUUUCGGACGGAACGAAAUUGCUUGGACUAAUACUCUGAGUAGAUGACGGUACCGUAAGAAGAAGCACCGGCUAACUACGUGCCAGCAGCCGCGGUAAUACGUAGGGUGCGAGCGUUAAUCGGAAUUACUGGGCGUAAAGCGUGCGCAGGCGGUUGCCUAAGCCAGGCGUGAAAUCCCCGGGCUUAACCUGGGAAUGGCGCUUGGGACUGGGCAGCUAGAGUGCGGCAGAGGGAGGUGGGAAUUCCACGUGUAGCAGUGAAAUGCGUAGAUAUGUGGAGGAACACCAAUGGCGAAGGCAGCCUCCCUGGGCCGGCACUGACGCUCAUGCACGAAAGCGUGGGGAGCAAACAGGAUUAGAUACCCCUGGUAGUCCACGCCCUAAACGAUGUCGACUAGUUGUU